This 473-nucleotide long non-coding RNA is filed under the name Coffea arabica (coffee). Its description in RNAcentral is "long non-coding RNA (CARA_LNC000778)". The record is from RNAcentral. Lineage: Eukaryota; Viridiplantae; Streptophyta; Magnoliopsida; Gentianales; Rubiaceae.
CCUGGAGGGAGCUUGAAUUUCUUGCCCCGUAAUUUAGAAACAACGAUGGCAACUAUGAUGGCUGCAAACAGUCCCAAAAGGGUCUUCUCUAGCAGGAGAAGAUCCAUGACGGUGUGGAGGGCGGUUUGUGAUGGAAUCAACUGAGAGUGGGAGGUUUGGUUUGGUUGAGUGGGUUGGGUGAUGGAGUGGAAUUGGUGCCGGAGUGACUAUAAUUUAUAGCAGGGUUGGGGGGCAGUUGUCUAGUUGUCUUUUUUUUUUUUUGUGGUUUCUCUUUUUCAUUGGAGGAGGUAGGUGGCGGAUGGAGUGGUAGUAGUAAGUAGUAAGUGGGGUCGGUGAAGGUGGGUGGGCCUUUGACGGCGUCAGAAUUUUUGGACGUCGAGAAGGGAAGAUAGAGGCGAGGGGCGAGAAUGGUAGGGGGAACGAUAAGGGAGUUGAAACUUGCAAAGGGAAGUAGGUGGGCGGGUUUGGUGAGC